RNA transcript from Spea bombifrons (plains spadefoot toad), 5356 nucleotides. It is a transcript of the gene named coiled-coil domain containing 141, with no coding region annotated. The record is from RefSeq and is a predicted model, not a curated record. NCBI's taxonomy places the organism in Eukaryota, Metazoa, Chordata, Amphibia, Anura, Pelobatidae. The transcript is spliced from 24 exons.
UGUCAGCUCAGUGGCUGGAGGACGAUAAACUCAAUGGGACUCUCUAUUUUUAACCUCCUGUUCAUUGCUUCUUGUAAUGCGAUGUGGGCUAGCUGAGCUUUUCUCCUGAAUGUUCCCAAAUACCCUGGCUUAUCAUUUUCAGAAACAGUCAUUGAAGAGAAAGUUAUUGAAGAGUCGGAUUUAUCGUCAAGUUUGGAUCUUUUCUCCUUAAGACAUUAUGUCAAGUGAAAAUAAUUUAACUGGACAGGUAUCAACUACUACGGUUAGUUCGGUGGCCAUACAAGCUGGCGAAUCCAGAAUAAUCAUAUCAGUACUUAAGUGUGGCCACUUGGUGAAUCUACAGUUAGCUGAAGCCAUACCUAAUUUAUUUGAGAUUGGUGCAAAUCAAGAUGAAUCUAAUAAACUUCUUAAGGAUCAUGAGAUGCUUCUUUCCAAACUCAAGUCCUUGGAAGAUCAUGUGUGGGACCUGUUAUGUGAAGCAGACAAAACUGCCGAGGGAAAUCAAGAACAAGGCUGUGUGUAUGAUGCUAUGGCACUGACCCUUAAGGAUGCCUGGGAUACACUCAUCGCUAUACUGGAUAAGAGGAGGACUCUCUUACAGUUGUCUUCAGUGUUCUUUCGGAUUGCACAAGAGUUUGCCACCGCUAUUGAUCAAGCAGAGGACGUUUUUCAGAAGAUACCAAGCCCCAACACGGUAGAUUCUAUUACAGAACGAUGUCAAGAACAGCAAAGUCACAAGAAAGCUCUUCUUGAACGAUCACUAGCCUUGUUAAAUAGAAAGCAGGAGCUGACAGAAUUCAUCGAACUAUUCAAGAAUAAACAGCCAAAUGCAAAUUUGGAAAUGACUCAGGGAGCCCGCAUUAGCUGUUUGAGAAUUGACAGUCUGGUGGAAUCGCUGCAAGACAGGAGAAGGCAGCUGGAUAAGCAUCUCAAGGAAGAGCACAGGCGACAGGAGCGGGUCUUACAAAUCAGUCAGUGGCACCAACAAGAAGAUAAGGUCACCUGUUGGCUGCGAAACCAUAUAGAAAUGUAUUUAAAGACUGUCCAACUAGGUACAUCACUGACUGAGAAUGAAGAACUUCUCCAAAAACACAAACAAGAAGUGUAUAGUGCCAAGGAAUGGACUUCCGCUGUUGAAAAGCUUAGCAAGGAAGCUACCAGACUAUUUGCUCUGGAGAACCACCAAGAAAGGGAGAACUUAAUGGAAGCAAAGAAAAAGCUAGAUGCACUUUAUUCCGACUUCUGGGAGCUUAUGGAAGAAAGAGAAAACAUUCUGCAAGAAGCCAAUGGCUUUUUUAAAAGUGUAAAUAAGGCUUUUGACAAAUUAGGAAACAUUGAAAUGUAUCUAACACAUUUGAAGAUGCAAGAUCGGAAUAUUCCUGAUUUAUUAGAAAAGCAAAGAGAAGCUGAAAUAGAAAUUAGAAACUGCACCAAAGAUGCCUUUCAUAAAGGACAGACGCUGAUAAACAAAUCUGCAUACAGCUCGGGGAUGACUGGAAUUAAGGAAAUGAUCGGAUACCUUCAGAAAAGGGUACAUCAGCUUACCGGGCAGAGCCCCACAUCUACGGACGUCACUUUAAAGAAACAGCCGAUAAUCACAUCACUUGAGGAACAUCUGGGGAAGGUGUCAAUGUGGAUUCAGACAAUAAAUAUAGAUUUGGAAAGAAACAGUGAUCCAGGCUGGAGCAUUACUGAGUGUGAGAAAGUUCGGAACAAACUGGAAGAGCUGGCCGACCAGACCAAGGAGGCAUUGCAGUGCAUGGACAAAGCUGCCCAGCUCUUAAAGGAGGCUGCCCAAACGAUACCAUCUGAUGCUGAUGUAUUUGCCCAUAAAGCAUGCCUUUUGGAUGAAAAACUGAAAACUCUGGAUCAAGCUAUUGAGGAGAAAUUAGAAGUUUUAUAUGUAUACAUUGAAUUUCUGAAAUCAUCAAAAGAGUUGAAAUCUCACAUCCAGAGUCUUAAGAAUAUGUAUGCGUCGCAUCCAGAAUCAAGCACCCUAGAUUCAGCCAACACACAGCUGCAGGGUGUACUCGAUGAUCUCUUCUCUGUUCAAGAUAUGGGGCAGAAUUGUUUGAACAUAAUAAAAAUGCUGAAUAGAAAUACAACCCUAAAAAAUACCCAAGUGGAAUGCAUUGAAACCAUAAUGGAUAAUUUAAAUAGAGAGAAGGCAGAGCUAACCGGUCUUUGGGCAACAUGGCAGCAGAAUAUCGACAGAGACAGCUCCUCAACGCAAUGGAGAUCAAUUAAAGAGCAGCUGAGAUCGGCGGCUCACAAGCUACAAGAAUUGGAGGAUGAUUUGCAGCCUUUGUCUUCACUGAGCCUAGGAAAUGACUUUAAGAAUAUUUUGAGUGCACAAGAAAAACUGAAUGCCGUUAAAGAUAAAUUUCAGAAACUCAAUGCUGAAACCCAACAGGCUGUAAAGAUCUCUGAACUUCUAACACGAGAGGGAACACCUCAUAAGGAAACAUCUGGAAAAAUAAAUGACCUUGCUCAACAAUAUCAAAGAGUCCACAGCUACAUUACAGAGUUUGAAGAACUUUUUAUCAAGAUUAUGACAUUUUAUAAAUUUAAGACAGAAUUGGAAAUCCAUCUCAAUUCAAAGCCAGAACCUCCAAAAUCGACUGAAAUGAGCAGCGAUAACCAGCUAUUUAAAAUGUCAGAGCAGAGAACACGUAUCCAGGACCUGUACAAGCAAAUUCUUAAUGUGGGGACAGACAUUAUGUCUACAGUGAAAUGUUCUAAGUACAUUAAUAUCUCCCUGGAAGAACUUCAACAACAACUGUGCAGUAUGGAAGAAGAGAGUGAAGGAUUGAAAUCUGAGAUGGUCAAGCAGGAGGAGAACCCUGCAAGUAAUCUAUAUUUGGGUCCAACAGCAGACAAUGUAAAAGAGUUAAAUGAAUCAUUUAAAGAUCUGAAGAAAAAAUUCAACAAUUUGAAGUUCAACUACACAAAAAAAGCUGACAAAGGCCGUAAUUUGAAACUAAUCAAGAAUCAGAUUCAGCAAGUGGAAAUGCAGGCCGAAAAAAUUCAGAUUCUGAAGACAAAAGUUGAUAACUUGGAAAAGAAGACUGUAACAGCUGCACUGCCUCAGAAAGUUGAUAAAGCAGAUGCUACCCGGUUGGCAUUUAGUGAUUUGCAGAAAAAAGUAAAUGAAUUCAGCCAAGUUGUGCAAGAAUAUAAACAGAAUCUCGAAAGAACUGAAGAUUUACACCUUAUAACGGAAGAGUGUCAGUUUUGGUGUGAAGAUGCCUGCGCUACUGUUGUCAGAGUCGGACGUUAUUCUGCAGAAUGCAAAACAAAGGAAUCUGUUGAGAUUCUUCUUAAGCAGUUCAACAAGUUCGUCGAACCUACUCUUCCGCAACAAGAAGAAAGGAUCCAGCAAUUAACCGAUAUUGCCAAACAUGUCUAUGGACCUGAAGAAGGGUUAAAAUGCAUAGAGAAGAUAUUAGUGAAGAACAAGGAGACACUGGACUCUGUAAAUGAGUUAUGCUCGUACCUUAAAGAACUUGAAGAAAAGCUGGAGGAACCACAUAAAGUGCCAGAAAUCUCCAUAAGUGCUGCAUCAGAUGAAGUUAUUCUACCAUCAUCUUCCAAAGAUGCUAGCUUACUAACAGACAUGGAUUUGCAGGCUGAAUGCCUGGCGGAGGACGCUGUCUCUGGCGAUGAAUACGAGUGCAUUUCGCCCGACGACAUCUCCCUGCCUCCGCUUGCUGAAACUCCUGAAUCCAUCCCCCUACAGUCUGAAACAGAGCAAGACGAGCAGUGCUGUUACAGCUCCCACAGCAUGCAUGUCAGCUCCUACAGCAUGCAAAUGCAGAUAAACGCCAGCGGCAAAACGGUGACAGACAGCUAUGACCUCUUAACACCUGUUGCUUAUACUGACACUUCCAGUGUCAAAAGGGAAAUGACUUCCACUUAUACAGAGAGAUUCUGUUCUCCUAUUGCUGGAUAUAAAACGGAAUCUCCAUCCACUCACCAUUCAAGCACAGUUAACGAAACCCUUUACUCCUUAAACACAUCUCCUUCAAAAGCCAAACCCAACUACAGCAUGAUGAAUGAAAUGCAUGAAACCCGCACGCAGCACCAUACUGUUUACUCAAACAUGGAGAAAACAGGACAAUUGCAUGUUCCCAAUAACACAUCUAGAGUUAAAGAUAGGCUUUACGCAACCCCCGAUGCAUUCUCAGGUCUCUUGUGUCAAUCAGACUCUGCCAAAAUAUCCCAGAGAGAUAUGACUACCCAAGAAGAGAUUAAGGGUUGUUCAGAAAACCACAGAAACGUUAUACCUUCAGGUCAGACUACUGGCUUGUCCAAGUACCUGCCUAAUGUCACUGUUAAAGAGGGCUCCCCAGUGACUUUGGAAGUAGAAGUUACCAGCUUUCCAGAGCCAACUCUAACAUGGUGCAGGAAGGGGGAAAAGCUAUCUACAGAAGAGGUUUUAACCGAUCUCAAAAAGGAAGCAACUCAGACCUUGGUCAUUGGAGAGGGGUACAAGAAAGAUCCUGGUCAUUUCAUUGCUCAAACUUCAAUUAAUAAGGUCACUUUUUCUCCUAGUGGUGACCCUGAUUGGAACGGGGAUGUAUCGCCUAUUUCAGGACUGGACUGGAUUAGUUUACUUUUCAUGUACAUUUGUGUAUCACUGGUGUUUUGGGUGUUCAAUAGCAAAAUGCAAAGUUGAUAUCCAGAGCCCAUGAAUCCAACCAUCACAAUUUGGAUUUAAUUUUACACUGGACUUUUAAGAAUUUCAUAUCGCUAAUGUUUGAAUCUAUAAAAGUACUUCAUAACUUAAAUGCAAAAACGUUUGAUUCCAGCACACAGGUAUACAUCACCUGAAGACACAAGAAAAUAAAUAUGACAAAAGUUACAUUAACAGAAUUCUACAGAAUAUUUUACAUUAAUCACAAAAUCCAAUAACAAAUAUCCUAUGGAAAUCGAAAGCCGUUUUCAGAACAGGGGGAAACUGCACCCCUUCACCCUUUCAGCUGUCUUCUGAACCAGAUGAUGUAAAGAUAAGGAGUUAUAUAUUACUUCACUCAGAUAGUGUAUGUAAAAUAUAGCACUGGAACAGAACAGAUAGUUGAGGCAAAGUUAUUUUUUACUGACGGAUAAUGUUUCAGAAAUGCUAGAAGCUAAUAAAAAUGCUAAUAUAAACAUAAUGUUUUAUGGUCAACUGAAAAACAUAAAUCAUUAUAUUUUAUACUUUAAUUAGAUUUAAUUGCACAAUAUUCUAUAUUUCAAUGUUAAAUUGAAUGCAGCAAAAUGUAACGUUAAAGCGAGGCAGGCUGGCACAUAUUAAUGUGUGUAUGUAAGUGUAUGUGAGCAUGAAUGUGUAUGUGUAAACAUUUGUGUGAGUAUG